RNAcentral lists this small nucleolar RNA (137 nucleotides) under Ornithorhynchus anatinus (platypus). The record is from RNAcentral. Lineage: Eukaryota; Metazoa; Chordata; Mammalia; Monotremata; Ornithorhynchidae.
UACUCUCAGGGCUGCACCUGGAGAGUUUCCAGUACUCUACCAGUCUCGACAAUGGGAAGGAGAGUCAAGCAGAGGCAUAUCCAUUCCAUUCCUAGCUUAGGCAGUGGCUAGUGAGUGGAAGACAAUCUGCUGCAAGU